AUCCCAUGAUGAGGACAGGUGAGGAUGUAUUCUUGCAGCCUCUCCCAAGCUUUAGGGAUUGACUCCAUCCCUGUCUACUGGAAACUUGAAAUUUUCCCGUGCUGGGCGU
Panicum hallii is the source of this 109-nucleotide small nucleolar RNA. The record is from RefSeq and is a predicted model, not a curated record. NCBI's taxonomy places the organism in Eukaryota, Viridiplantae, Streptophyta, Magnoliopsida, Poales, Poaceae.